Osmia lignaria (orchard mason bee) is the source of this 2580-nucleotide RNA transcript. It is a transcript of the gene named modular serine protease-like, with no coding region annotated. The record is from RefSeq and is a predicted model, not a curated record. NCBI's taxonomy places the organism in Eukaryota, Metazoa, Arthropoda, Insecta, Hymenoptera, Megachilidae.
UUAACAAAAUGCUUUUAUCUCAUUCUUUUCCAUAUCUGACAAAUAAUAUAUUAGUUAUUUCAAUCUUUUUUCAAUAUUAAAUUUUUGGAGGAAAGUAUCUUACGCCCGUAUUACGUUGCGUAUAUUUUCCUGGUAAAUACACACACAUAAAUAUAGAUGAAUAGUUGUUGAAUCUGUGUUGCUUGGCCGGGUAAUUCCAGAUUGAUACAGGAUUAGUAAACGAUUCACCAUAUGAAGAAGCUGACCAUAUUUUACACUGCUGUUUUAAUUCAUUAUUAUGAAGAACAAAAUUACAAUUAUUGUGAUAAUUACUUAUAGUUUAAUAGAAUGUGGGUAUACACAAAGAAGCAGAUGUGGUCUAGAGAAAUUUCAGUGUAAUAAUGGUCAAUGCAUAGCAAGUGAAUUAGUAUGCGAUGGACGAGCAGACUGUAAAGAUAAAUCUGAUGAAACCUAUGCUGAAUGUAAUAAACCAGAAAUUAUAUGUCCUGGUUAUGCAUUUCGAUGUUCAUAUGGUGCAUGUGUAGAUGGAGAUGCAACUUGUAAUGGAAUAAAAGAUUGUGUUGACAAUAGUGAUGAAACUUUGUUUAAAUGUACAAGUGCUUCAUAUAAUGCAUCUACAUCAUGUACAAAGGAUCAGUUUAAAUGCAACAAUGGACAGUGUAUUUCAGAAAGUAGUUUAUGUGAUGGAAAUGCUGAUUGUGUAGAUAAUUCAGAUGAAACAUUUAUUCAAUGUGGAUCAAUUACUUGCUCAGAGCUUUUCUUUCGUUGUUUCUAUGGUGCCUGUAUUGAUAGUAACUUAAAAUGUAAUGGAGUUACAAAUUGUGUGGAUGGCUCAGAUGAAGAUCCAAAACUUUGUGGAGGUACUACAACAACAGUUAGACCAGCUCCACCAAUUUUUACUUUUCCUACAGAAUCUUCAUCUGAUGUAUCACCACCUUGGAUUCCUGCAACCUGUACUGUACCAGCACAACCAAAAAAUGGUUACAGGAAGUUAUACAAACCACAUUGUUGUGAUUCUAUAGGAAGUUCACAAUCAUGUGAUCUUUGUGACAUCUCCCAGGGUACUAAGAUAAAGCCAGGAGAAUAUUUAGUUUAUAGUUGCAAGCCUGGUUAUGAGCUUAAAGGUCGCGAUCAGAUAUUUUGUACUCGGGAUGGUCAAUUAUUAAAUAUUCCAGUUUGUACAGAAAUACGCUGUGAAGGCUUGGAAUCAAAUUCAAGAAGUGCUAAAUGUCAAUACCAAGGACAAUAUGUAUCGUGUCAAUCUAGUGUUUCGCCUUAUACGGAAGCAAGGUUGAAAUGUCGUGGUAGUUAUCGUCGAGAUACAACAUUACUAUCAACAGCGGAAGUUACCAGGUGUAAUAAAACUGGUCAAUGGGAACCAAGGCCGAUACAAUGCGUUCCAGAAUGUGGUGUAUCACCUAUAGACUUAGUACCACUUAUUGUAAAUGGAACUCGACCUAACAUUACUGAAUUUCCAUGGCAUGCCACACUCUAUAGAGACAAAUCACUCAAAGAACCUAAAGAAUUUAUUUGUGGGGCAACUAUUAUUCAUGAGAAAUUUCUAGUUACAGCAGCACAUUGUGUGUAUGAUGAUAUUGAUCCUUCAAAAUAUUAUAUAGCAACAGGCAACAUUUAUAGAGAUUAUGAUUUCCAAUUUCAUGAUCCAAUAAUAGUAAAGAAGGCUAAGGUAAAAAACAUAUACGUUACGUGUAAUUAUAGAGGACUUGAAGGAAAUUAUGCUGAAGAUAUAGCUGUAUUAGAGAUUGAAACACCAUUCAAAUUUUCAUCUAUAUUAGUACCAAUAUGUUUAGACAUUGCUCGAGACUUAGUUGGACUAGAGGUGGGGGAUGUUGGAAAAGUAGCAGGAUUUGGAAAAACAGCUUCAGGAGCAAGUUCUUUCGUCUUACAAUCAAUUACAGUUCCAUAUGUGUCUGCAACUAAAUGUAGAUCAUCAAGCGAUUAUCAUCAGACUAAAAAGUAUAUUACAUUUGAUAAAUUUUGUGCAGGUUACACAAAUGGAUCAUCAGUUUGUGAUGGUGAUAGUGGUGGUGGAUUUGUUGUGAAAAAAAAUGGAGUGUGGUACUUAGCAGGUAUUGUUAGUGUUAGCCUUGGUACAAGAAUACUAGGAGGAAGUAGCACUUGUGACAGUUAUUCAUACACUCUAUAUACAACAGUUUCUGAACAUGUGCAAUGGAUUCAGGAUGUUCUUCACAAGUUACAAGAUCAACAAUGUUAGAAAACUAACAAUGUUCAAAUGUUCAGGAUAAUUUAUACGAAUAUGGUGUACUAUAUUUACAUCAUUAUAUACAGAUGCCCAAUCUUGGGGAUUAGCUGAUUUACUUCGAAAAGGUGAAAAUAAAGCACUCAUUCUUUCCUCAUCAUUCCAACAAUUUGGCAUUCUUUCAGAUGGAAGAGGCAAAUUAUUAUCCAUCUACAAAGAUAACAAAUAUUAGUAAAACAAGUAAAACGGUAAACAAUUAAUAAAUAGUAUUUAACAUUAGAUAGGUUACAUUUUAUAUGUAACUGCGAAAGAGUGUUAAUAUAUACCUUUGUACAGCAAUAAUAAUGAUUCAAUUAGAA